AUUGACGAUGGAUCACCAGUGAGUGGCGGACGGGUGAGUAACACGUAGGUAACCUGCCCCGGAGCGGGGGAUAACAUUUGGAAACAGAUGCUAAUACCGCAUAACAACAAAAGCCACAUGGCUUUUGUUUGAAAGAUGGCUUUGGCUAUCACUCUGGGAUGGACCUGCGGUGCAUUAGCUAGUUGGUAAGGUAACGGCUUACCAAGGCGAUGAUGCAUAGCCGAGUUGAGAGACUGAUCGGCCACAAUGGAACUGAGACACGGUCCAUACUCCUACGGGAGGCAGCAGUAGGGGAUCUUCCACAAUGGGCGCAAGCCUGAUGGAGCAACACCGCGUGAGUGAAGAAGGGUUUCGGCUCGUAAAGCUCUGUUGUUGGAGAAGAACGUGCGUGAGAGUAACUGUUCACGCAGUGACGGUAUCCAACCAGAAAGUCACGGCUAACUACGUGCCAGCAGCCGCGGUAAUACGUAGGUGGCAAGCGUUAUCCGGAUUUAUUGGGCGUAAAGCGAGCGCAGGCGGUUGCUUAGGUCUGAUGUGAAAGCCUUCGGCUUAACCGAAGAAGUGCAUCGGAAACCGGGCGACUUGAGUGCAGAAUAGGACAGUGGAACUCCAUGUGUAGCGGUGGAAUGCGUAGAUAUAUGGAAGAACACCAGUGGCGAAGGCGGCUGUCUGGUCUGCAACUGACGCCGAGGCUCGAAAGCAUGG
This 705-nucleotide ribosomal RNA is filed under the name uncultured bacterium. RNAcentral describes it as "bacterial SSU rRNA". It matches the Rfam family "Bacterial small subunit ribosomal RNA", at positions 69 to 764 of the family's 1533-position model. The record is from RNAcentral.